UGAAAGAUUCUGUAGAGGUGAAAAGAAGAUAUUGGCACGCGAAGGUCGAUGCGCCCAUUGUCUCACACCAGGAAAUUCUCGUUCGGGAAGCAAGCCACGUGAACCGAUUCGAGACAGAGAUAGAAAAUUGCUACGGACGGAGAGAAAGAAAACGAUGAUAAAGAGAAAAGGCCGGGAGCUCCAGAAAUGAAAAAAAAAGAAAAAACGUCGAAUCGUGUAAGAACAGCAGAAGGAAAUCCAGUAGACGAAAUGUGGAUCGAUCGAGUAUCCAGAACGGGCAUUUCCGGCUUAGAGGUUGCGACGAGCCAACGAAAGGAGGAAGUUGUGCCGGAAGUCGUAAUCAACGCGAGAAACUGCUCGCACGAUUCUCUAAAAACAAAAACAGGCCUUU
Long non-coding RNA from Frieseomelitta varia, 391 nucleotides. RefSeq lists it as uncharacterized. The transcript has 2 exons. The record is from RefSeq and is a predicted model, not a curated record. NCBI's taxonomy places the organism in Eukaryota, Metazoa, Arthropoda, Insecta, Hymenoptera, Apidae.